UUUCAUGGUCUUUUCCUUGUGUAGAAGCAACAAAUCCCUCUCAAUGUGAUGCCUUGCAACACGUCAAAGUUUCACCUUGAAGUUCCUUGCCAUGCCAAUUCGCAUAUUAACAACGAUUUUCUCAUCUAACUGGCCUAAGAAUUUGGGACCUUAGUAGUUGAUUUAUGCCGUCAUCCGUGAUAUGACUCCUAGUGAUCUUGUUGCAUUCUUGAGAAGCAUCUGGUAUGGAGUGAUGAGCUCACUCAAGCAUUUGGUUUCUCAUUUGGUAUGGAGUGAUGAGCUCACUCCAGCUUUUGGUAUGGAGUGAUGGUGCUUGCUCUAGAUCAUUGCAUGAUUAUGCUCGAUCCAGGUGGUGCGCGCUCUAGAUCAUUGCAUGAUUGAGCUCUUUGAUCGAGGAUUAGAUGGGUGAGAACAAAAUAAGUUUAUUAUUAGCUAGCUAAUGCCAAUUCCAAAAAGCAGCUAGAGGCAGACUCUGCCAAUUUAUAGGCGAUUAUCAUCUGGAAAGAUAAUAUCCAUUACGCAAUGAUCUCAAAUCUCUAUUUUUCCUUGCAUAUAAUUCUAUCUUAGGUCCUCCUUAUUUAAAAUGAAAAUUGAGUAUAUAGGGGAUUUGUAAAUGCAAUGAGUUUCAUCUUGUAGAAAGAAUACAGAAGUGUUGUUUUAUUACACUUUACCAAAAUCAAAUUAAAC
This 687-nucleotide long non-coding RNA is filed under the name Theobroma cacao (cacao). RNAcentral describes it as "long non-coding RNA (TCAC_LNC000515)". The record is from RNAcentral. Lineage: Eukaryota; Viridiplantae; Streptophyta; Magnoliopsida; Malvales; Malvaceae.